GGGGAGCUGGGAUCCAGCCCGGGGGUCUGGAGUAGGGUUGGAGGGGGGACUGAGGGAUGCUGGGGUUUAACUGGGGGGCACUGGUGAGCAGCUGGGGGGACUGGGAUGGGACUGGGAAGCCUGGGGGGGCAGGAGGGGGAUGACUGGGGGUUGCUGGGGCUCAGCUGGGGGGACUGGGAGUGGACGGGAGGUGGACUGGGGGAUACUGGGAUCCAGUUUGGGAGUGUCAGAGUGGAACUGGGCGUGCUGGGCUGCAACUGGGUGAACUGGAAGUGGACUGGGGAGGCCCAGGAUGAACCAACUGGGUAAACUGGGGCCCCCAGUGGGGAUUUGGGGGCUGGGGGGGUCCCGAUAUUUUGGGGGAGUGGGGGGGCGGUUUGGGGGAUCCUGGGGCUUUUAGGGGGGCUGGAGCUGUCCCUCAUUGUCCCCUCCUCCCCCAGGUGCAGCCACCAACCCAACCCCCCCGUGUGUGUGUGUGUGUGUCCCCCCAGUGUCCCCCCAGUGUCCCCCCCAGCCGAGAUGAGGCAGAGCCCCCCGGAGCAGAGCUUGGGCCAGGUAGGACCUGGGGGGGGGACACGGAGGGGACACAGCUGGUGUCACCUCGGGGUGGGGGGGGGACACAGCUGGUGUCACCUCGGGGAGGGGGGGGGACACGGAGGGGACACAGCUGGUGUCACCUCGGGGAGGGGGACAUGGGGGGGACACAGCUGGUGUCACCUCGGGGGGGGGGGGGGGGACACGGAGGGGGGGUGAGGACAUUGACUUGUCACCCGUUGUCACGGGGACGGUGACACAGCUCUGUCUCCUGCCGGCGUGGGGACAAUGACACAGGGGCUGUGGCCCCCUCCAGCACGGGGACACCUUGUCCUCGCCGCUGGGGGGGUGGGGGACGUGGGUUUGUGUCCCCCCCUACCCCCCGGUGGUUGGGGACGGUGACAGGGGUUUGUCACCCCCCCGGUGCGGGUUUGUCACCGCUGUUCUGGGGACAAUGACACCGGUUUGUCACCCGCUGGCACAGGUUUGUCCGUGCUGUUCUGGGGACAGUGACGGGAGGCUGUUCCCUUGGUUUUGGGGACAGGGACAGGGAUUUGUCACCUCCCCGCACAGGUUUGUCACCGCUGUUCUGGGGAUGGUGACAGGAAUUUGUCACCCCCAGCACAGGUUUGUCCCCGCUGUUCUGGGGACAGUGACACCGGUUUGUCACCCCCCAGCACAGGUUUGUCCCUGCUGUUCUGGGGACAGUGACGGGAGGCUGUUCCCUUGGUUUUGGGGACAGGGACAGGGAUUUGUCACCUCCCCGCACAGGUUUGUCCCUGCUGUUCUGGGGACAGUGACGGGAGGCUGUUCCCUUGGUUUUGGGGACAGUGACAGGGAUUUGUUACCAGCUGGCACGGCUUUGUCCCUGCUGUUUUGGGGACGGUGACACCGGUUUGUCACCUCCCAGCACGGGUUUGUCCCUGCUGUUCUGGGGACAGUGACACUGGUUUGUCACCCCCAGCCCAGGUUUGUCCCUGCUGUUACGGGGACACUGGCAGGUGUUUGUCACCCUCUGGCACAGGUUUGUCCCCAGUGCUGUGGGGACAGUGAUCCUGGGUUUGUCCCCACAGGGUUCUGUGCUGGGUUGCUGCUGGGGGUUACUGGUGGCCACUGGUGGGCCCCAUUAGCAUCAUUUCCCCCCCCCUCCCCUGGUGCUGGGGCGUUACUGGGGGUUACUGGUGGUUACUGGUGGGCACCAAUUCCCCCCUCCCUGAUCCUCUCUGGGUACUGGGGGUUACUGAUGGUUACUGGUGGGUACCAUUGCCCCCUCCCUGACCCUCUCUGGGUGCUGGGGGUACUGGUGGUUAUUGGUGGGCACCAUUCCCCCCAUGUCUGACUCUCCCCCGGUGCUGGGUGAUUACUGGUGGCCGCUGGUGGUUCCUGGUGGUUCCUGGUGGCCCCUGGUGGUUCCUGGUGGCUGCUGGUGGCUCCUGGUGGUUCCUGAUGGUCCCUGGAGGCUGCUGGUGGUCCCUGGUCGCUGCUGGUGGCUCCUGGUGGUGCCUGGUGGCUCCUGGUGGCCGCUGGUGGUGCCUGGUGGCCCCUGGUGGCCCCUGGUGAUUCCUGGUGGCUCCUGGUGGCCCCUGGUGAUUCCUGGUGGUCCCUGGUGACUGCUGGUGGUCCCUGGUCGCUGCUGGUGGCUCCUGGUGGUGCCUGGUGGCUCCUGGUGGUCGCUGGUGGUCCCUGGUGGCUCCUGGUGGCCCCUGGUGAUUCCUGGUGGUCCCUGGUGACUGCUGGUGGUCCCUGGUGGCCGCUGGUGGCUCCUG
This is a long non-coding RNA of Corvus moneduloides (New Caledonian crow), 2300 nucleotides long. The record is from Ensembl. NCBI's taxonomy places the organism in Eukaryota, Metazoa, Chordata, Aves, Passeriformes, Corvidae.